Molecule: ribosomal RNA, 497 nt
Filed under: uncultured bacterium
Lineage: Bacteria
Description: partial 16S ribosomal RNA
Rfam family: Bacterial small subunit ribosomal RNA
Source: RNAcentral
GAUGAACGCUGGCGGCGUGCCUAAUACAUGCAAGUCGAGCGAACAGACGAGGAGCUUGCUCCUCUGACGUUAGCGGCGGACGGGUGAGUAACACGUGGAUAACCUACCUAUAAGACUGGGAUAACUUCGGGAAACCGGAGCUAAUACCGGAUAAUAUAUUGAACCGCAUGGUUCAAUAGUGAAAGACGGUUUUGCUGUCACUUAUAGAUGGAUCCGCGCCGCAUUAGCUAGUUGGUAAGGUAACGGCUUACCAAGGCAACGAUGCGCAGCCGACCUGAGAGGGUGAUCGGCCACACUGGAACUGAGACACGGUCCAGACUUCUACGGGAGGCAGCAGUAGGGAAUCUUCCGCAAUGGGCGAAAGCCUGACGGAGCAACGCCGCGUGAGUGAUGAAGGUCUUCGGAUCGUAAAACUCUGUUAUUAGGGAAGAACAAAUGUGUAAGUAACUAUGCACGUCUUGACGGUACCUAAUCAGAAAGCCACGGCUAACUACGUG